UCAUCACAUUGGUAUCAGCAUUAUAUGGAGGGUGGGGAGUGUACAUAUGUAAUUUAUUAUUUUAUUUUCCAGUGGCUGUCCAGCUGGUGGGAAUGCAGACCGUAUCCAGAAGCUACGGAAGGAAUACCAUCAGGCCAGGCGAGACGGUUUACCUUUCUACGAGGAUGAUGAGAUGAGAACACGGUCAUCUGAUUAUGAUCAGCACUGGGUGCCUGGAAAAGGUCCAGAUGGGAGUUCACACAAUCUCCACUUUGAAGGGAUGGAAAGGCAAUAUGCAUCCUUACCCAGAGGAGAUGUUCCACGCUUGAGAGCAUAUGAACAAAAUGAGAGGGAGCGACCUAGGGAAGAUUACCAGAGCAGUUGUCUUGUAUCCGUAUCAGGUACUUAUAAAAUACCAACCACUGUGCUUGGAGUUUUUUAGGUUUUUAACCUAAUUACUUAAUUAUCAUGGCUCCUGAUAUUUGUAGGCAGGGUUUUUUGCCUGGGGGCGGGGUAGCUUUUGCGUGGAGGGUGGGAUUUUCAAAAGUUGGCCUAAUUCCUUCCACUGAAAUCAAUUGGAGUUUCACACUUACUUUCAAUAGGAGCAGAAUUUAGCCAGUGCUGAGUGUUUUGUGAAAAUCCCUCCCUAAAUUCUGAUGCUGGCCAGACUAGAGCACAGUUCAUUCCUAUUUUCUAUAAGAGGCUCAGUAUAGUUGCCGUUACGGUGGUGCUCAUAUGUACAAAAGGAAUCAUUAAGCUCCCUAAGGAAAGCCUCACAUCAUGUGUUAUUGUCAUCUCAUGGUAGACGUUUAAAACAUUCUUUCAGGUUACUAAAUUGCAUUUUUUUAAAUUCUUUCUGUACCUCUUUUGACCUAUGUGGAGAGUUGUCAUCAGUAGCUAAAUUCCCUGAUUUGGUCCCAGUUUUGAGAGGCACUGAGCACCUGAUAAAUAUCUUCAACUCCUAAUAAGUUCAGGUGUCCAGCACCUCUCAAAAUGAGCCCCUAUGCUACUGCUUCUGUGGCGUCUGCAUUACAGAAAGUUUGCAAUCAUGGCAGUCCAUUCUGUAUGAUCCUCUGCUAGUCUCUUUAUGGAUGAAUAGUCCUUUUAAUCCACCCAGGAUACCACAUUGUCCAUCCAAGACUUUAUUUUUCUGCCUCAUGUUCUUCUGCCAUCAAGUUUCCCUUCCAGUACCCAUAAACAUGCAUCACCUGCUGAACCCCUUAAAAUGUGUCCUGCAAACAAAAGCUAUGUUUUCAUAAGAUCUCUGACUAGCAUUUGCUGAGUUCCAGUCAUCUCCAAUACUUUUUAUUGGCUAGAGGCUAUCCAUGAUAUGCUUUCAAAUAGAAAAAGGCCUGAUUUUCCAGUCACUUAAGGCUGGUCUACACACCAUUUUUGUCCUGCUAUAACCAGGGGUAGGCAACCUAUGGCACGUGUGCCAAAGGCGGCAUGCGAGCUGAUUUUCAGUGGCACUCACACUGCCCGGGUCCUGGCCACCGGUCCGGGGGGCUCUGCAUUUUAAUUUAAUUUUAAAUGAAGCUUCUUAAACAUUUUAAAAACUUUAUUUACUUUACAUACAACAAUAGUUUAGUUCUAUAUUAUAGACUUAUAGAAAGAGACUUUCUAAAAACGUUAAAAUGUGUCCCUGACACGCGAAACCUUAAAUUAGAGUGAAUAAAUGAAGACUCGGCACACCA
Chrysemys picta bellii (western painted turtle) is the source of this 1673-nucleotide long non-coding RNA. NCBI's taxonomy places the organism in Eukaryota, Metazoa, Chordata, Testudines, Emydidae. The record is from Ensembl.